UAUUUAUUCACAAAAUUGAUAGCACAGGCAGCAUCUGUGAAAGCUUCCUAGUCUUUGUCCCACUGAUGUGUCUCAGCCCUGGCCUGGAGGGAUCACAUCUAAGUGUGAAA
Molecule: small RNA, 110 nt
Filed under: Gopherus agassizii (Agassiz's desert tortoise)
Lineage: Eukaryota; Metazoa; Chordata; Testudines; Testudinidae
Description: TUC338 (ENSGAGG00000018247.1)
Source: RNAcentral